RNAcentral lists this ribosomal RNA (116 nucleotides) under Amantis nawai. Its description in RNAcentral is "partial 16S ribosomal RNA". The record is from RNAcentral. Lineage: Eukaryota; Metazoa; Arthropoda; Insecta; Mantodea; Gonypetidae.
AAGAAUUUAAAGGUCGAACAGACCUAAUAAUUGAACAUCUACACCCAAUAUUUAUCUUAAUCCAACAUCGAGGUCACAAUCUUUUUUUUCGAUAAGAACUCUUAAAAAAAAUUAUG